Non-coding RNA from Paramuricea clavata, 105 nucleotides. The record is from the annotation of a GenBank genome assembly. Lineage: Eukaryota; Metazoa; Cnidaria; Anthozoa; Malacalcyonacea; Plexauridae.
AAACAAAUGCCAAAAGUUCGGACAAGCUUAAUUGUUCGAACAUACAAUCAAUUGUAUGUUCGAACAAAAGCUUGUCCGAACUUUUGGCAUUUGUUUACAUUUUUG